AAGCAUCCACUGAUAGGCCUGUUGCCAUACUUGGUGGCCUCUGGGUUUGCACAAGGAUGCAACAGUAAUAUUCCUCAUAAUGUCUGGCCAUCUGGAAGGUGGUUGGAAAAGACUAAAUUGAGGAGAAAAUGA
Carassius auratus (goldfish) is the source of this 132-nucleotide small nucleolar RNA. Ensembl annotates it as small nucleolar RNA SNORA31. NCBI's taxonomy places the organism in Eukaryota, Metazoa, Chordata, Actinopteri, Cypriniformes, Cyprinidae. The record is from Ensembl.